CAAUAGCGUAUAUUAAAGUUGUUGCAGUUAAAAAGCUCGUAGUUGGAUUUCUGGUAGGAGCGACCGUGCCGAACUUGAUUGUUCGAGUAUUGUGUUGUCUUCAGCCAUCCUCGUGGAGAACUUUUCUAACAUUAACUUGUUGGGAUUGGGACCCGCGUCGUUUACUGUGAAAAAAUUAGAGUGUUUAAAGCAGGCAUUAGCUUGAAUACAUUAGCAUGGAAUAAUAAGAUAGGACUUUGGUACUAUUUUGUUGGUUUGCAUACCAAAUUAAUGAUCAACAGGAACAGUUUGAGGAUAUUCGUAUGAACAUGUCAGAGGUGAAAUUCAUGGAUUUUGAUCAGACGAACUACUGCGAAAGCAUUUAUCAAGGAUGUUUUCAUUAA
Molecule: ribosomal RNA, 383 nt
Filed under: uncultured eukaryote
Lineage: Eukaryota
Description: partial 18S ribosomal RNA
Rfam family: Eukaryotic small subunit ribosomal RNA
Source: RNAcentral